Molecule: long non-coding RNA, 2977 nt
Organism: Canis lupus familiaris (dog)
Lineage: Eukaryota; Metazoa; Chordata; Mammalia; Carnivora; Canidae
Exons: 7
Source: RefSeq, a predicted model, not a curated record
GUUCUCAUCCAUCCCAUUCAUCUUUUUAUAAUCUGAUAGAGCCCACCCUUCAGCUGUUCCUGGCCCCUUUUCUGAGAUUUGCACCCUUCCUGGGGGAGAUACAGGCCCUGCUGUUCUCAGGGCAUUAGAACCAACUUCUUCUCUGAUCUGAACCUUCUUUUGUUUCUCUGAGCUUCUAGUACCUCUGGUGCUGCUCAUAAAGAAGAUCUUAGAGUCCACUAGACACACAGCAGUGCCUGAAUUUAGUAGGUGAAUGAAAUGCAGGCGCCCACUUGCUGAAUAGGCACUGUCCAAAAUACUCUCCCCAUUCACAGCAAAAUAACUGAGGCCUGGAUGUUAAAGCGACUUUUCCCACAAGUUAAAAUCAGGACUCAAAGGAGAACCUGUCUCCUAAUUGCUAUAAAAGUGUUUUAUACACUAAGCUGUAGUGCCUUUCUUUGCAGAGAAAAUAUAAUAAGAGACCAUCUGGGUGGGAGAGAAAGAAUGAAGGGAAAGAGAUGGAUCAGAGUGGAAUAAAGGAAGUGGGCAGGAAGCUGGGGGGCCGCGAGGAGCCUGACCUUGCUUAGCUCACAGGCCCUGAUAUAGUGUCUUUGUCAAUGCUGCCACUAUUGGCGCGUUCCUCGGUAAUUAUGACUGUGUGUUGGCAUGGCGACUCAGAGUAAGAAGACUAGAAGCACAGGGUAAAUGCACGACUUGUUCUUGCCUUCUAAAGCAGAGAGGAGCUUUUGUGGGUAGUUCCUCCAGGGAGACGUGGUAGAAAAUUCACCAGACCCAGUGCUGGAGCGUGGGUAUUUGCAACCCAAAGAGGCUGGGUGGCCCUGAUCGAGGGUGGCACACCCCAGAGGGCCUCAUCCAGACCUGCCUCCAGUGCAGAGGUCACACAGAACCUCCCUCCUGUUCUCUUCUGUUGGUCUUUGUUCCUGAGCUUGUGAUGUCAAGUACACCCAUGUCUUCUCUCCUCCACGUUGUCUGUUUUAAACAGGUUUCUGUUGCGGGCUCCCUGAAAUAGAUUUACUGUAAACUCAUCUAUCUCGUAGGAACAACUUUGAUCUUCGGAAUCAGCAUAGCAGUAACCUAUUGAGAUUUCUGUGUAACAUUGGACGCAUUCCAGAAUCAGAAGACAGGGAAAUGAGAAGCAGGAGCCCUGGUGGAAGAGUCUGAAGGUAUAGGGCAGGCAUGAACGCUUCUCAAGGUCAGGUAAUACGGCUGGGUUGUGGGAUGAGGACAGUGAUGAUACCCAGAAUAUUUUACCAUGGGCGCCAGCCAGUCGGAAUGACAGCUGGCCCAAAUCGCCAGCCCAGGGAGGAGGGCACAGCUGGCCUGGGAGUGAAAUCCUUGCCCAAAGUGACCCAAGGUGGCCUGGUAGAGUAACGAGGGCAUAGGAAGACACAGCCAUACUCACCUGGAAGUCAGAGACUUGGCCUCCAGCCCAUCUUCCUGGUGAAUAGCCUUCGGUGAGCCAGCUCCCGUUCUGCACCAGGAAAAGGAGCAUUGGAUAGAAGGGCUUCAAAGAUUGUCCUGUGAAGUGUGAUGGGACAACCUCUUUUCAGCUUCUCUGAAGAUGGAGACCGAGAGGAAUGGUGGGUCUUGCCAAGGUCACAGGACUGGAAUUCACAGCCACGCCACUCCAGGACCCUGGAGGUCAUCAGCAGGGGAAAGGGGAAAAGCCAAGCAGAAAGGGAAGAUGUCAUCUGAAGCCAGCGUCUUGAGGCUGCGACAGUCGGGCCCGGAUAGAGGAGGCGGCUAUGGGCAGAGGUUUGAGGUACUCUGACCAGGCUUCCAGCAAACUGGAGCUCUCAGUCAUCUGUAUUUCUGACCCAGAGGAGUGAGGGCAGCACACUGGGAGGUUGCUAAAGCAAGGGGCUCCAGCCUUCUAGGAGUUAACGACUCCCUCUCCCCAGCUGUCCUCCACUUGGUGCUCCUCUUCCUCCCUCCUCCUGCUCACAGCAGGCAGGGCCUGGACCUGGGAGCCAUGCCGCUGUGCUGUUGCCACGGGAGCCGGGAGGCAGAUCUGAGCUAUGCAGGGAAAAGACCCAGCCUGUCAAAGUGUCUGAGAUGAACCGCCGCCGUCCCCGUGCAGCUGGGCUCAGACGUGUCUCGGCUCUUGUUCUGUGCCUGAGAAUGGCGAAGCCCAGUGAGGUUCAAGGGCAAACUCACUAUUCAUUAGUCAGGGGUUCUUGACGUCCCGUCUCUCCCAGGGAUGGGAUUCCCCCCCCUUCCUCUUUCUCUCCCUUCUGUGACACAUUCCUGGGUUCCUUUGGUGAGGACUGCACCCUCCUCUGGCUACUGCCCAGCCCCUUCUCCAUGGCCCCUAAAUAAACUACCCCCAAGGAGACCAGGCAGGGCAGAGACAAUGGCCACAGGAAACCAUUCAGGCAGGACUCUAGCCAUGCUGGCCUGCCCUCUGCUCCCAGCACCCUUGUGAGCCCCACUUUCCUCUGACUCAGGGUACCCCGGGCCACCAGCAUGCACGAUCCUAGACAGGAGGAAGCCCCUGGUCACUGCCCUUGGGACAACAGACCCAUUCUCAGAGGCUCCUGAGUCGCCUCCAUAGCCUGGAUCUCACACAGCUGGAUAGUUUGGUGCCUUUCUCUACCAUCACCGGUCUGUUUUAAGACACUCUUAAACACUGGUUGGAGAAUGUAAAUUGUACAGUAUUUUCUGUAAGGUGGUGGGUAUUAGGAUGGAAAAGACAUAUACUUAGUCACAAGCAAAUUGCACGGCUAGGAAUUUAUUCUCUGGUCAUAUAUGUAAAAAUGUCCAAAGAAUUAUGUCCAAGGAUGUUUAUCAGAACAUUUUGUUUUUAAGAAUGUAAGAACAUGUAAAUGAACCCAUGGUCCAUUCAUACGGUGGAAUAUUAUGCAGCUGCAAAAAUCACUGUGGUAGAUCUCUCUAUAAGCUGAUAUGGAAGGUUGACCAAUAUAUAUUGUUGCACGAGGAGAAUAAAUUGCAGAACUGGCAAUAGAGUAUGAUCUUA